AAAAAUUUAGUUAAAUUAUAACAUUAGCAUGUCAAGCUAGAAUCACUGGAGCCCCCCCAGUAGUUUUUA
This 69-nucleotide transfer RNA is filed under the name Tenebroides mauritanicus (cadelle beetle). RNAcentral describes it as "tRNA-Asp". Lineage: Eukaryota; Metazoa; Arthropoda; Insecta; Coleoptera; Trogossitidae. The record is from RNAcentral.